Long non-coding RNA from Pipra filicauda (Wire-tailed manakin), 401 nucleotides. RefSeq lists it as uncharacterized. Lineage: Eukaryota; Metazoa; Chordata; Aves; Passeriformes; Pipridae. The record is from RefSeq and is a predicted model, not a curated record. The transcript has 3 exons.
ACCUGUGGCUGCAGCCUAUGGUGGGACCUCUGCAGUCAUUCCAAAGCUGGAUCAAAUAAAUGCUGCCCUUGGCAAGCGGAGGUGGAGGAACGAGCCCGUGGUGACGAAGGAGCAGCACAGCCAAGGUGCCACCACGUUUUUGGUGGCAGCAUUAGCACAAAAUAUGGGACUGCAACAGCAGCAUCACUGCAGUCCUGGGGUUUGGUGGCUCCAGCUGGGCUGUAGCCACGUGAAACCUGCUGCAAGGUGUGAGCAGGACACUGUGGGUCCAAAUAUCCCUCCUCUGACAGAUGAUCCUGGAGCAACACACCUGUCCAGAAAAUCUUAUGUUUUCUCCUACUAAGUGUUUGUCCCCAGCCCAGCUCAGCUGUUCUGCUCUCUGGGAUGCACAGGGAAGAAUU